Molecule: ribosomal RNA, 443 nt
Filed under: uncultured bacterium
Lineage: Bacteria
Description: partial 16S ribosomal RNA
Rfam family: Bacterial small subunit ribosomal RNA
Source: RNAcentral
CCUACGGGUGGCAGCAGUGGGGGAUAUUGGGCAAUGGGCGCAAGCCUGACCCAGCAACGCCGCGUGUGGGAAGAAGGCUUUCGGGUUGUAAACUUCUUUUCUCAGGGACGAAGCAAGUGACGGUACCUGAGGGAUAAGCCACGGCCAACUACGUGCCAGCAGCCGCUGUAAUACGUAGGUGGCAAGCGGUAUCCGGAUUUACUGGGUGUAAAGGGCGUGUAGGCGGGAAAGCAAGUCAGAUGUGAAAAACAUGGGCUCAACCUGUUGCCUGCAUUUGAAACUGUUUUUCUUGAGUGCAGGAGAGGCAGACGGAAUUCCUAGUGUAGCGGUGAAAUGCGUAGAUAUUAGGAGGAACACCAGUGGCGAAGGCGGUCUGCUGGACAGCUACUGACGCUGAGGCGCGAAAGCGUGGGGAGCAAACAGGAUUAGAUACCCUUGUAGUC